UAAACCUUUUCAAGCUUCCUUUUCUCAUCUAUAACUUGGAAUAAUACAUAACUCACUUGCUAUUGUGAGAAUAUAUUUCAAUACUUACAUAUAGGGUGUUGGCCCUGUCCUACCUGUCCUAAAUUCUGUGCUGGGCCCUGGAAACACAGGACUCUUCACUAAUUCAGCAAAUAUGUAUUAAACUACUACUGUGUUCCAGGUACUUUAUUCCAGGAAAAAAUAAAGGUAUGUUGAAAAGUUUUAA
Long non-coding RNA from Suricata suricatta (meerkat), 244 nucleotides. RefSeq lists it as uncharacterized. The transcript has 2 exons. NCBI's taxonomy places the organism in Eukaryota, Metazoa, Chordata, Mammalia, Carnivora, Herpestidae. The record is from RefSeq and is a predicted model, not a curated record.